UUAACUGAAACCAAAAAGAGGUAUAUUAUUGUUAAUAAUAAAAAUGGAUCUGAGAAUCCCAGUUAAG
Molecule: transfer RNA, 67 nt
Filed under: Heterotermes malabaricus
Lineage: Eukaryota; Metazoa; Arthropoda; Insecta; Blattodea; Rhinotermitidae
Description: tRNA-Asn
Source: RNAcentral